AGGACGAACGCUGGCGGCGUGCCUAACACAUGCAAGUCGAGCGGAGGAUUCGAGAUGUUUACAUCGAAGGAUCCUUAGCGGCGGACGGGUGAGUAACACGUGGGUAACCUGCCUCAGAGUGGGGGAUAGCCUUUCGAAAGGAAGAUUAAUACCGCAUAAGAUUGUAGCGUCACAUGGCGCAGCAAGAAAAGGAGCAAUCCGCUUUGAGAUGGACCCGCGGCGCAUUAGCUAGUUGGCGAGGUAACGGCUCACCAAGGCCACGAUGCGUAGCCGACCUGAGAGGGUGAUCGGCCACAUUGGAACUGAGACACGGUCCAAACUCCUACGGGAGGCAGCAGUAGGGAAUCUUCGGCAAUGGACGAAAGUCUGACCGAGCAACGCCGCGUGAGUGAAGAAGGUUUUCGGAUCGUAAAACUCUGUUGUUAGAGAAGAACGUUGCAUAGAGUGGAAAGUUAUGCAAGUGACGGUAUCUAACCAGAAAGGGACGGCUAACUACGUGCCAGCAGCCGCGGUAAUACGUAGGUCCCGAGCGUUGUCCGGAUUUAUUGGGCGUAAAGCGAGCGCAGGUGGUUUAAUAAGUCUGAUGUAAAAGGCAGUGGCUCAACCAUUGUGUGCAUUGGAAACUGUUAGACUUGAGUGCAGUAGAGGAGAGUGGAAUUCCAUGUGUAGCGGUGAAAUGCGUAGAUAUAUGGAGGAACACCGGUGGCGAAAGCGGCUCUCUGGACUGUCACUGACACUGAGGCUCGAAAGCGUGGGUAGCAAACAGGAUUAGAUACCCUGGUAGUCCACGCCGUAAACGAUGAGUGCUAGUUGUUUGGGGCUAUCCAGCCCUAAGUGACGCAGCAAACGCAUUAAGCACUCCGCCUGGGGAGUACGACCGCAAGGUUGAAACUCAAAGGAAUUGACGGGGGCCCGCACAAGCGGUGGAGCAUGUGGUUUAAUUCGAAGCAACGCGAAGAACCUUACCAGGUCUUGACAUACUCGUGCUAUUCCUAGAGAUAGGAAGUUCCUUCGGGACACGGGAUACAGGUGGUGCAUGGUUGUCGUCAGCUCGUGUCGUGAGAUGUUGGGUUAAGUCCCGCAACGAGCGCAACCCUUAUUGUUAGUUGCUACCAUUUAGUUGAGCACUCUAGCGAGACUGCCCGGGUUAACCGGGAGGAAGGUGGGGAUGACGUCAAUCAUCAUGCCCCUUAUGUCUAGGGCUACACACGUGCUACAAUGGUCGGUACAACGAGCAGCUGCACAGCGAUGUGAUGCAAAUCUCUUAAAGCCGAUCCCAGUUCGGAUUGUAGGCUGCAACUCGCCUACAUGAAGUCGGAGUUGCUAGUAAUCGCGAACCAGAAUGUCGCGGUGAAUGCGUUCCCGGGCCUUGU
This 1373-nucleotide ribosomal RNA is filed under the name uncultured anaerobic bacterium. Its description in RNAcentral is "bacterial SSU rRNA". It matches the Rfam family "Bacterial small subunit ribosomal RNA", at positions 26 to 1384 of the family's 1533-position model. The record is from RNAcentral.